Molecule: long non-coding RNA, 270 nt
Organism: Gasterosteus aculeatus aculeatus (three-spined stickleback)
Lineage: Eukaryota; Metazoa; Chordata; Actinopteri; Perciformes; Gasterosteidae
Source: Ensembl
AGUGAGGGUGAACCUGAUGCACGGAGGACACCCCGGGGUCAUUGCUGAGGGAGGGAGACCGGGGAAGGCAGGUAAGGUUAUAUGUGUGCCAAAAGAGGUCAGGAGGGAAGCUAGGCCUCAGGAGACAUCUGUGUUCUACCAGGCUGUUUUGUGUGUGUGUGUGUGUGUGUGUGUGUGUGUGUGUGUGUGUGUGUGUGUGUGUGUGUGUGUGUGUGUGUGUGUGUGUGUGUGUGUGUGUGUGUGUGUGUGUGUGUGUGUGUGUGUGUGUGC